Molecule: ribosomal RNA, 960 nt
Filed under: Stemonitopsis microspora
Lineage: Eukaryota; Evosea; Eumycetozoa; Stemonitida; Stemonitidae
Description: partial small subunit ribosomal RNA
Rfam family: Eukaryotic small subunit ribosomal RNA
Source: RNAcentral
CAAAUUAGGUCCCUGAGUAAACAGAAAUAAGAUUAGACAUCUUCUCGUAUCGGCUGACGGCUCCACAGACUGGUCAUAACCAUUAGUAGCGUUUCUCGUGUCUGAUGGAACCCAAUGUCAGCCUAAAAACUACAUGCUCUGGAGUCAUGAGGUAUAUGGAUAUCCAUGGCAAUUCUGUGGCUAAUACAUGAAACUUAUAACUGGUCCACCUGCGCAGGCGCGGGACCUUUUUUCCCCACCUCCUUUUCCCUUUCGGGGGACUAGGGAAUGGGGAAAAAGAUCCACAAAAAACGCGCUUGCUUGGUGGGCCGGGGAGUGUGAGGUUCAAAACUGGCUUGGUUACAUCGGGACAGAACGCACAUCCUUUACCCUGCUCCGUGUCCUCUCCGUAAGGGGGGGAUCCGGGCGCACUGGGGAGGCACCUUCAUCUGCACAAUCUUGUGAACCCAUGGGUUUCUCUUUCCCCAUCUUCCUUCCGAGGAAGGAGGGUAUCGAGGUUCCUGAGGGAUCCUUGGGAUUCGGGUGGAGGUGCCCUCUCGGUGGGUCACUGUUCGAGUUUCCAACCUAUCAACUAAAAUGUGGCGUAAUGGAUUGCUAUGGUUACCACGGGUACAGAUGAUUAGGGUUCGAUCCUGAAGAGCGGCCCUGACAGAUUGCUCAUACUUCUCAUGAAUGAAGCACGCGCGCAACGUUCCCACUGGGCUAUUGCACCAAGGCCUUCACGGCAUAUACGAAUGGCCUCCCAAAUAGUGCCCACUUCUAUUGCGUUCACUGUAACUAAUGAAUGAGUAACCUUACAGGACAAGUCUGGGUUGCUAUAAAUAAUUGAAUUUACUAUUGCACCCCCCGACAUAUGUGUGACUUGAUUAUACUGCGCCAGGAAAAAAUUAAGUCCGGGAAUGAUCCCAUGAAGAUCCUACAAUGGCCCGCACACGAAAAAUUUAAUGGUGCAACUAUAUU